UUUCAUUUCCUAUACAAGCAUGAGAGAAGUUAUGUUUUAUAAUCCAAACUAAUACCACCUAAUAAUUUAAAAGUCAUAUAGAGAGUCAAAAAUUUGCCACAACAUUAUUGACUUCCACACAACUUGUUUUCAAAAAAAUUUGUUGGAGAGGUAUACUCAUUUCAACAUUUUAAUAUGCAAGACUAACUCUAUUAGGACGAAACAAC
This 206-nucleotide long non-coding RNA is filed under the name Capsicum annuum. Its description in RNAcentral is "long non-coding RNA (CANN_LNC019169)". Lineage: Eukaryota; Viridiplantae; Streptophyta; Magnoliopsida; Solanales; Solanaceae. The record is from RNAcentral.